Non-coding RNA from Punica granatum (pomegranate), 1158 nucleotides. The record is from RefSeq and is a predicted model, not a curated record. NCBI's taxonomy places the organism in Eukaryota, Viridiplantae, Streptophyta, Magnoliopsida, Myrtales, Lythraceae.
GAAUUACGUGCAUGGAAAUGGCAAUAGAAAUGGCAUGCCGCUGUCUGUUCGGUUCUCAUAUGAUUCCACCAUCAGUACAUAAUGUGGCCUUUAACAAGCCUUUAUUUAUUGCCUUCUAAUAAGUGAACCGCAUAAGUGAAUACACUCUGCCGCUGCAACAUCAGGUGCUCCUCCUUCAGACUUUAAGAAGUCUUCCGUCGGACAAUGCGCUGCGUGAUGCCGUUAGUCUGCAUUAUCGAAAUAAUGUUGCCGGUGAACCCAUUGAAUUCGAAAUCUUUGUAAGUCCAAUAGUCGGCCAACACAUUCAAGAAAGGAAAAUGAAGGGCGAAAGCAAAAGGACUUGCCGACAUCUUUGAACCAAAAGCUUAUUUGUCCUACCAAACUGAUGGGAAUGCAAGAAUGGACGCGCUGUCGCAGUCCAAUUAUAAAGCAGGCCUCGGCUCUCAAUUAUAUCAGAGAAUAUAUAUAAGAUUGUCUUUGCCGCUAUUUGAUCAAAGAUUUAAAAAUCUAAUUUCAUUUUGCCCAAAGUUUAUGUUCAUAUGUGUUUGCAGUUUCUUUCCAAUGCACCAUCUAGUUCAAAUUGCCCUGUUUUGCCCCCAUGAAGUUUGAGAUAGUAUCUCAAUAUAAUCUCAAUAGGAGGGUAACCAGUGACGGGGUCUAGCCGUUGCUAGGGACGUCAACUGUCAUUGUCUGACAACCCUAAUUGAGGGUGGGGGAGGGGGAGGAGUGGCCGCCAACGAGGCCCCACCACUGAACCCCUUCACUGGCCUUUUCCUUUCUACAAUUUUUUUAUUACUAAUUCGAGCCGGGGUGGCCUCCACUAUCAUAAGCUUCUGCUCCGAGCAGUCGCCCAUGCGUUGCGUUGGGUCUCCAUUAAAAAACUUACACUGAUCUGUUUUAAUAAAAGAAGCGGUUUCUGAGCGGUGUCUCCUUGGAAGAUAAUAAAAGAGAGCAGUUCAACAAAAUUGAAUAAGUGAAUAAUCUUUCUUUAUGUAUUCGUAUAGAAUAUAUUCAUGGAGGUGCACCUUUCUCAUCUUAUGUAUGAGUAAAUUAUUGGAACUUACGUUAAAGAGGAUGUGACGCGGUGACACACGCUCUCACCUGAUAAACAAGAGGUUUGAAGAUAUUAUAUGAGACUGCCCGUGUCCCUUUAUUAGA